UUCGAAGUAUGACAGCAGAGCUUAGCUCUCGGGUGACGAGUGGCGGACGGGUGAGUAAUGUCUGGGAAACUGCCUGAUGGAGGGGGAUAACUACUGGAAACGGUAGCUAAUACCGCAUAACGUCGCAAGACCAAAGAGGGGGACCUUCGGGCCUCUUGCCAUCAGAUGUGCCCAGAUGGGAUUAGCUAGUAGGUGGGGUAACGGGCUCACCUAGGCGACGAUCCCUAGCUGGUCUGAGAGGAUGACCAGCCACACUGGAACUGAGACACGGUCCAGACUCCUACGGGAGGCAGCAGUGGGGAAUAUUGCACAAUGGGCGCAAGCCUGAUGCAGCCAUGCCGCGUGUAUGAAGAAGGGCUUCGGGUUGUAAAGUACUUUCAGCGGGGAGGAAGGUGUUGUGGUUAAUAACCGCAGCAAUUGACGUUACCCGCAGAAGAAGCACCGGCUAACUCCGUGGCAGCAGCCGCGGUAAUACGGAGGGUGCGAGCGUUAAUCGGAAUUACUGGGCGUAAAGCGCACGCAGGCGGUCUGUCAAGUCGGAUGUGAAAUCCCCGGGCUCAACCUGGGAACUGCAUUCGAAACUGGCAGGCUAGAGUCUUGUAGAGGGGGGUAGAAUUCCAGGUGUAGCGGUGAAAUGCGUAGAGAUCUGGAGGAAUACCGGUGGCGAAGGCGGCCCCCUGGACAAAGACUGACGCUCAGGUGCGAAAGCGUGGGGAGCAAACAGGAUUAGAUACCCUGGUAGUCCACGCCCGUAACGAUGUCGACUUGGAGGUUGUGCCCUUGAGGGCGUGGGCUUCC
Molecule: ribosomal RNA, 798 nt
Filed under: Enterobacter sp.
Lineage: Bacteria; Pseudomonadati; Pseudomonadota; Gammaproteobacteria; Enterobacterales; Enterobacteriaceae
Description: bacterial SSU rRNA
Rfam family: Bacterial small subunit ribosomal RNA
Source: RNAcentral